RNAcentral lists this ribosomal RNA (390 nucleotides) under Dryadobates olfersioides. RNAcentral's name for it is "partial 16S ribosomal RNA". It matches the Rfam family "Bacterial large subunit ribosomal RNA", at positions 1967 to 2522 of the family's 2925-position model. The record is from RNAcentral. Lineage: Eukaryota; Metazoa; Chordata; Amphibia; Anura; Aromobatidae.
ACUUGUCCUUUAAAUGAGGACUGGUAUGAAUGGCCACACGAAAGCUAUACUGUCUCCUUUUUCUAAUCAGUCAAACUAAUCUUCCCGUGAAGAAGCGGGAAUAAACCUAUAAGACGAGAAGACCCUAUGGAGCUUCAAACAACCAGGACAUUUGAUUUCACUAUACCUAUAUUAAACUAUUCUUAUUGUCCUUAGUUUUGGGUUGGGGUGACCACGGAGCAUAAACUAACCUCCAUGAUGAAUGAAUCUUCUAUCCUUAGCUAAAAGCCACAUCUUAAUGCACCAAUAAACUGACUCUUAUUGACCCAAUAAUUUGAUCAACGAACCAAGUUACCCUAGGGAUAACAGCGCAAUCCACUUCAAGAGCUCUUAUCGACAAGUGGGCUUACG